This 100-nucleotide signal recognition particle RNA is filed under the name Bacteroidota bacterium. Its description in RNAcentral is "Bacteroidetes bacterium (marine metagenome) signal recognition particle sRNA small type". It matches the Rfam family "Bacteroidales small SRP". From Rfam's summary of the family: The non-coding component of the signal recognition particle in Bacteroides The record is from RNAcentral. Lineage: Bacteria; Pseudomonadati; Bacteroidota.
GGGUAAGUCUUGCACGACCAGCUCCUGCUGAAUCCCCCCAGGUCCGGAAGGAAGCAAGGGUAGGUGGUUGUAGCGGUGCGAUGCAAGAAGCUUACCCCUU